This 449-nucleotide ribosomal RNA is filed under the name uncultured bacterium. RNAcentral describes it as "partial 16S ribosomal RNA". It matches the Rfam family "Bacterial small subunit ribosomal RNA", at positions 29 to 523 of the family's 1533-position model. The record is from RNAcentral.
AACGAACGCUGGCGGCAGGCUUAACACAUGCAAGUCGAACGCAUCCUUCGGGGUGAGUGGCAGACGGGUGAGUAACGCGUGGGAACGUGCCCUUCAGUUCGGGAUAACCCAGGGAAACUUGGGCUAAUGCCGGAUACGUGCGAGAGCAGAAAGAUUUAUCGCUGAAGGAUCGGCCCGCGUCUGAUUAGUUAGUUGGGGGGGGAAUGGCCCACCAAGGCGACGAUCAGUAGCGGGUCUGAGAGGAUGAUCAGCCACAUUGGGACUGAGACACGGCCCAAACUCCUACGGGAGGCAGCAGUGGGGAAUAUUGGACAAUGGGCGCAAGCCUGAUCCAGCCAUGCCGCGUGAGUGAUGAAGGCCUUAGGGUUGUAAAGCUCUUUCGUCCGGGACGAUAAUGACGGUACCUAACCAGAAAGCCACGGCUAACUACGUGCCAGCCGCCGCCGUAA